RNAcentral lists this ribosomal RNA (253 nucleotides) under uncultured bacterium. Its description in RNAcentral is "partial 16S ribosomal RNA". It matches the Rfam family "Bacterial small subunit ribosomal RNA", at positions 524 to 776 of the family's 1533-position model. The record is from RNAcentral.
UACGUAGGGUGCGAGCGUUAAUCGGAAUUACUGGGCGUAAAGUGUGCGCAGGCGGCCGAGCAGGUUGAGUGUGAAAGCCCCGAGCUUAACUUGGGAACUGCGCUCGAAACUACUUGGCUAGAGUGUGGCAGAGGGAGGUGGAAUUCCACGUGUAGCGGUGAAAUGCGUAGAGAUGUGGAGGAACACCGAUGGCGAAGGCAGCCUCCUGGGCCAACACUGACGCUCAUGCACGAAAGCGUGGGGAGCAAACAGG